UCGAAGAUGUGGUGGUGGUCUUGUUAGUAAAUUAACCACCCAGCCCAGCAAGGAACCAACAACAAAUGAAAUGAGGAUAUUUAAGGGCAUGAACCACCUACAGAAAACAAGGAAGCAACCAAACUUAAAAAAUGAUAUGAUUGUUCAUUACAGACAGCAUGCUGAUGUAAGAAUAAGAAGGUAACUCACAACUUAAUAAUGCUUUCAUAUGUUAUGGUUUUCGCCAAGUUGCUUGUUAUAAGUGCUGGACUGAACACAUAAAAUACAAUCUGUUUGCAAGAAGCAACCAUGUCAUCACAUCAAACGGAGACUUAUUCAUCACAAGAAAAACCAUUUCUUCAAAACUAUUAAUUUGGAGUCGAGAAAAUGCUCCAGAAAAUUUCGAUUUUGACCAUUUGUGUGACAGGCAAUCUUAACAUACGGAGGCAUAUAUUUGUGCACACACAAACCUAUAAUAUGUUCCAGAUAUGAGGGACCAAGGGAACAUCGUUCUACAUGAUAACUAAGAGCAAGUAGAAUCGUGGUGCUAAAAUACAUAUAGAUUUUGCUAUAUUAUGAUCAAAAAGUGAUUUUGGAUGUUGAAAUAGAACUUAUACUCCAAUGAUAAUUUUAGAAUAGCACCAAAUUAUCUAAAUAUAACUAUAUUUCACUCGCUAACUCAUUAAAUGCACUAUUUUAUUUGUCAACAUUACUUUAAAUGUUGAUUUUUCACUUGCAUGCUUAUGUGUGAAACUGUGAAUUAUAGCAAUACCUAUGCUUGUGUUCUAUAUUUAGCACCAAGUAUAGUAUUUUGCUAUUUUGCAUCCAUGUUUAGCAUCCCAUUGGAAUGAGGUUUUUUUCUUGGGUGCUAUAUCAUAGAUAUAACACCACUUUUAGUACCUACAUUGGACUUGCUCUAACAUAACUGUAGUUAAAUUGAUCAACAUAAUGGAGAGAUUUACAUAAACGCGGUUUGUUGGUGUUAAAAAUUAUUUUCAUAGGAUGAGGGAUAAGAGUUUUAUUUUAAUAAUUUGGACACGUUUACUAUCUAUUUCAGGUCUCAGAAGUCAGAAGGCAUCCGUUCAACAUUUCAGGUGCCCAUGUCAUGACUUCGACUCUCUUAUCUGACAUGUUUCUGUAAAUAGUCUCUCUACUCUCGCAAGUAAGGGGGUAAGAUUGCGUACAUCCUACUCUUGUCACACUCACCCUUCGAGGAGAUAAAUGAGCAAGUCAUCGUUUUUUUGUAAGCAGGAGAUUGUGGAUUAAAGUUUCUACCCAAGUCCCUUUCAGAUAUAUAAUUAGAAGGUGCAUUAAGAACCAGACCCAAGUUUAUCUGAAUUUUAGCUAAAUAACACUGAAAAAUAAUUUAAUAUCUAGGUUAAAUUUGCCUAAGCUCUACAUAUCAAGUAACAAAGCCGCACUUAGGUUUAUCUGCAAAUUGCAUUAUCUGUUAGUCCAUCAUACAUGGAUCGUGAUCUCGAUUAAAUCAUGGCAGCUAACUAGUAUUUUGUUCGAGAAGAUUCUAAACAUUAAUACAAGUAUGCAAUUGACAAUAGAUGAGACACUGAGUUUUACGCACAGUGUUGAGAUGUUUACGUGCAUCCGGGCUGAGUACGUUGAUAUGGUCUAGAGCAAGCAAUGAUCCCAGAGCAGUGAGCAAAAGGACCUUGACCACCGGCACUGAGGCAGCAACAAAAAGGCUGAAAAGCCGCAUUAGCCCAAUCACUCCGACCACUUGACUUGACAUUUUUCACAUAUCAAACAGAUACAAAUCAAUUCAAAUCAUAAGAUGGAAUACAUAAAAGAAAAAUGUACUAUCGCACUAACAAAUUUAACCUAAAAUGAUCACAACUCAAAGGUACUAUAGAUUAUAUGAGAAAAGACUUACUAUAACACCUAAAAAUAAUAUAGACUCGCCAAAUAACAAGAGAGAAUUGAAUUUAAAGCGAAGACGAGUCGUAGAAAAUCAGGGUCUAUUUGAGAUUGUUACGUAGAUCGAAGUGAAGGAAUGUGGGAAGGGUUGUAAAGAUGUAAGUUGAGAUUUGUAGAGUGGCUAGUCAAACAUAAAUAAUGGUUGCGUACUUGAAGGGAAGAGGGAGCGACGCGGUUCCAAUCUGCAUGAACAAAUUAACUUAAACUUAUCUUUGGAGUAGUAACAUUUUAGCCUUUUAGGUAUGGAAAAAACUUGUGUGGUAGUUUCUGUAGUAUAUUGUGAUAAAAUGCCUUUAAUUACCGAUCACAAGUAAAGCAAAAAUAAAUGAAACUAGUCCCACAAUGUAGAGGGCAUAAAGGGAAAAUAAGUUGUAUGUGUACUGCUUGUGCUGCAACUAUUAACAAUUUUUUGGGGGCAUUCCGAAUGAAGAAAUGUGGCCCGUUGUCAACAGGCUCAUGAACCGGCAUGAUUCCCCAGUGGAAACCGCAGCAAAUGUCAUCAGCUAACCCCAAUCAGGAAGAGGAUGGUCUAGAUUUUUUAGCAGUGAACCUGGAAACUUCACUUUUUAAAUUUUAGAUAGUUUUUAACUAAUUUAUACAAAUCUUAAUAUUUGCAUAAAUCGGGGCAUUUGCAGCAAUCACCACACAGUGUAAUCAACUGGCAAAAAAGAUGAAAAACCAGGAAGAAACUAUGUAUUGAAGCUAUAUUUUCAGUUCAAUAUGCUAUAUUUCAAAAAUACAUGUUGAAGGGUGCAACACAUUCUUUUCCUGUAGUCUUGUAGCAGUUCUUUAUUUUCACACCUUCGAAUCUGUAAUCCUUUCAUGUGGUAGAAAUAGCGGAAUCAAGCGACCAACCACAUGAAGAAGGUACACCAAAGAGUAAGCGAUACAGUAGCAAAAACAUAGGUCCAUAGCAUUAUAACAGAACAUUCGCUUUCACCUUUACCAAACAACUGUGUUAUUGUACCUGCAGUCACGUUGAACAAAUAGACCAGAUGACUACAAUAUAUUCAAGGCAAUAGCUUCAUGAAAGAUGCUAAGUAUAAGACGAGAGGCUCAGACUCAGAAGAGAGAGAGAGUCACCUAUGUAGGAUUACCUAUAUUCAUAGCAGGAGGGACCGCGAACUGAAGUAAAAGAACAAACUGGUACAGAGGAUCUGCUGACACCAGAUUAAACCUGACUGCAGUGCGAACGAUCAAAGUGCCUAUUAUUGGCAAGGCAAUGUAUCGAGCAAUUAUAAUGCCAACAAUCAUGGAUUUCUGGAUUCCUGAUGCUUGCAAACCUGCUCGGAAAGUUUCAGAAGUGUUAGAGGCUUGGCUUUGUCCAUAUAGAUUCAGUCUUAACUAAGCUGAGGCAGGUGUAGUUUGUUGUUACCUUUCAGGAGGUUUGCGCCAAUUAUUAGAGUGAGAACUGGCACAGCUGCAUCUCUGCAGUUUAAGAAACGCAGAUACAGAACAUAAUUCAAUAAUUUAAAACUGAAUGGAAGUCGGAAGAUCAGUUAUACAAAAUUACAAGCAAGGCACUGCUCAAGACUUUAAGCAAGCGCGUGUUCAGAGCUUUUACCCAAUCCAGACAAUUGAGUCUUCAAUCACAUGGAGAGGCGCUUCAUCACCAAUCAAUAAAUUUUUAAGCAGAGGCACAAGUCCUAUUAUGAAGCCCAAGAUCUGUACAUGAAACAGAGAAAUUUUUUAAGUCACCACAUAAUUCCCUAUAACCGACACGGCCAAUAGUUUGAAAAACCUAACAUGUAUUUGCAUAUUGCUAUGUUUAACGUAGAAUGUCAACAAUAUUAAUGGGACCUUACUGCUGCAUUCGUUGAAGGGGAAAAUAACUUCUUCAAAUUGAGAUUUCUUGAGAUGUUCAUGACAUUUUGCUUUAGUUUAUCUGCAACUCCCACCUGCCAAAGAUCUACUAUCAAGACUAACAUUUGAUAUAAAAUUAUAGUGAAGAAAUAUACUGUACAAAAUUGUACACCAAGAAAGAACUGUUGGAGGGGCCAUAAGGGUAUAACAGAAAAGAGUGCUUAAAAGAAUCUAGUGAAGUUGCAGAUUAUUUCUAAAGUUCUAGUGCAAAGUAGUAAUUUUAUUGCCAUAACUAACCUGUGUUCCAUCAAACCUAGUGCAGGGUAAUGAAUCUGCUUUGUCUUCAGACACGUUGUAUUCUUUUGGAGAAAGUAAUGGUUCAGUGAAACUCUCCGGUUCUGCAGUGCCUGUUAUAGUAGUGCACUCACUAACAGAGGAAGCACUUACUUCUAUAGAUAAUCGUAUUACAUUAUAAACAUAACCCCACAGAAAGAUAGCUCCCAUCUGCAAUGCAACAAUAGCCAUAUCGAAAAUUUGCAAUGAGUGCCUGAUGACAGAAACAUCAUUUUUUGUUGCAUUCAUCUAAUGAGAUAUUCCAAAUUAAGGAUUAGCUAAAAGAGAUUAUAUACCGCCAUGGAGAGUGAAGUAUAAGCAAGUCCAUAUGUGCUACAGACAUCGGGAUCUCCAAAUGGGCUUCCUUUUUCUUUGCAAACUGCUGGGACUAUAAUGAUGAGAAUGUUGCCCAGAUUUCCUGUAAUAAUUAAAUUGUGAAACUAUUCAAAAAAAAAUAGGGCAAAUUAAUUUAUAGGUCCUUGAACUAUUGACGUUUUAUUGUCUGGGUCCCUGAACUAAAGAUUCCGUAUUUUAGGUCACUUAACUUUUCUAUUUUCUGAUCUAAGUCCCUCCGUCAAAAAGAUUCUAACGGUGUUAACUAGGGUUCUUGAGUUUCUUACAGAUCAAAGCAAUUUUGAAGGUGUUAGUGAUAUCCAAACUCAAAGUUCAAGUAGUCAAAUUGAAUCUUGAAUCACUAUCGACACUCAUAUGACAACAAUUUUCACAAAUUAGAUUUAAUUUUAAAAAAGCCCAAAUUGGACCAUAAAUUUAAGGUUUUUUAUCGAAUUUAGUGACCUAAAUUUAUAAAAUUUUAAAUUAAACAUAAUUUUUAAAAAUUGGUGUCAUAUGAGUGUCGCCAGCGACCCAAGCUUCGAUUUGACUACUUGAACUUUGAAUUUGGAUAUCACUAACACCUUCAAAAUUGCUUUGAUCUGUAUGAAACUCAAGAACCCUAGUUAACACCGUUAGAAUCUUUUUGACGGAAGGACUUAGAUCAGAAAACAGAAAAGUUAAGUGACCUGAAAUAUGGAAUCUUUAGUUCAGGGACCUAGACAAUAAAACGUCAAUAGUUCAGGGACCUGCAAUUUAAUUUUCCCAAAAAAAAAUAGCAAAACAAGCUAUUUAACUUGUGUCCCGAAUUAUGGUGUUCCAAUGAGGAAACAGUUUAGAUGAUUAUAACUGCAGCUAUCUAGACAGUUUUUCACCUGCUUUUCAGCAAAAAGCUGUUGUUGCUGUCUGCAACAGCAACCCCAAACAGUAUCUAAGUAAAGAUGCACAGAGACAGAGUAACAACAUCUAUAGAAGAGGCCAUUCGAGAGCCUGAAUUCGUUC
RNAcentral lists this long non-coding RNA (5379 nucleotides) under Daucus carota (carrot). Its description in RNAcentral is "long non-coding RNA (DCAR_LNC003054)". The record is from RNAcentral. Lineage: Eukaryota; Viridiplantae; Streptophyta; Magnoliopsida; Apiales; Apiaceae.